UGGGGAAUAUUGCACAAUGGGCGCAAGCCUGAUGCAGCCAUGCCGCGUGUGUGAAGAAGGCCUUCGGGUUGUAAAGCACUUUCAGCGGGGAGGAAGGCGUUAAGGUUAAUAACCUUGGCGAUUGACGUUACCCGCAGAAGUAGCACCGGCUAACUCCGUGCCAGCAGCCGCGGUAAUACGGAGGGUGCAAGCGUUAAUCGGAAUUACUGGGCGUAAAGCGCACGCAGGCGGUUUGUUAAGUCAGAUGUGAAAUCCCCGGGCUCAACCUGGGAACUGCAUCUGAUACUGGCAAGCUUGAGUCUCGUAGAGGGGGGUAGAAUUCCAGGUGUAGCGGUGAAAUGCGUAGAGAUCUGGAGGAAUACCGGUGGCGAAGGCGGCCCCCUGGACGAAGACUGACGCUCAGGUGCGAAAGCGUGGGGAGCAAACAGG
Molecule: ribosomal RNA, 429 nt
Filed under: Chloroflexota bacterium
Lineage: Bacteria; Bacillati; Chloroflexota
Description: Chloroflexi bacterium partial 16S ribosomal RNA
Rfam family: Bacterial small subunit ribosomal RNA
Source: RNAcentral